AGAGUUUGAUCAUGGCUCAGGAUGAACGCUGGCGGUCUGCUUAACACAUGCAAGUCGAACGGACUCUUCGGAGUUAGUGGCGGACGGGUGAGUAACGCGUGAGAAUCUGCCUCUAGAACGGGGACAACAGAGGGAAACUUCUGCUAAUCCCGGAUGAGCCGAAAGGUCAAAGAUUUAUCGUCUAGAGAUGAGCUCGCGUCUGAUUAGCUAGUUGGUAAGGUAAAGGCUUACCGAGGCGACGAUCAGUAGCUGGUCUGAGAGGAUGAUCAGCCACACUGGGACUGAGACACGGCCCAGACUCCUACGGGAGGCAGCAGUGGGGAAUUUUCCGCAAUGGGCGCAAGCCUGACGGAGCAAGACCGCGUGGGGGAGGAAAGCCUUUGGGUUGUAAACCCCUUUUCUCAGGGAAGAAGAAAGUGACGGUACCUGAGGAAUCAGCCUCGGCUAACUCCGUGCCAGCAGCCGCGGUAAUACGGAGGAGGCAAGCGUUAUCCGGAAUGAUUGGGCGUAAAGCGUUCGUAGGUGGCAAUUCAAGUCUGCUGUCAAAGACAGUAGCUCAACUACUGCAAGGCAGUGGAAACUGAAUAGCUAGAGUGCGGUAGGGGCAGAGGGAAUUCCCGGUGUAGCGGUGAAAUGCGUAGAGAUCGGGAAGAACACCGGUGGCGAAAGCGCUCUGCUGGGCCGCAACUGACACUGAGGGACGAAAGCUAGGGGAGCGAAUGGGAUUAGAUACCCCAGUAGUCCUAGCUGUAAACGAUGGAAACUAGGUGUUGCCUGUAUCGACCCAGGCAGUGCCGUAGCUAACGCGUAAGUUCCCGCAUGGGAGGUUCGAAGCACAAGCGGUGGAGUAUGUGGUUUAAUUCGAUGCAACGCGAAGACUUACCAGGGCUUGACAUGUCGGAAUUCUGGGGAAACUCGGAAGUGCUUCGGGAACCGGAACACAGGUGGUGCAUGGCUGUCGUCAGCUCGUGUCGUGAGAUGUUGGGUUAAGUCCCGCAACGAGCGCAACCCUCGUUUUUAGUUGCCAUCAUUAAGUUGGGCACUCUAGAGAGACUGCCGGUGACAAACCGGAGGAAGGUGGGGAUGACGUCAAGUCAUCAUGCCCCUUACGUCCUGGGCUACACACGUACUACAAUGGUAAGGACAAAGGGCAGCCACUUCGCGAGGAGGAGCUAAUCCCGUAAACCUUGCCUCAGUUCAGAUUGCAGGCUGCAACUCGCCUGCAUGAAGGAGGAAUCGCUAGUAAUCGCAGGUCAGCAUACUGCGGUGAAUCCGUUCCCGGGCCUUGUACACACCGCCCGUCACACCAUGGAAGUUAGCCAUGCCCGAAGUCAUUACUCUAACCUUUCGAGGAGGAGGGUGCCGAAGGCAGGGCUGAUGACUGGGGUGAAGUCGUAACAAGGUAACC
Molecule: ribosomal RNA, 1408 nt
Filed under: uncultured bacterium
Lineage: Bacteria
Description: bacterial SSU rRNA
Rfam family: Bacterial small subunit ribosomal RNA
Source: RNAcentral